Salmo salar (Atlantic salmon) is the source of this 2456-nucleotide long non-coding RNA. RefSeq lists it as uncharacterized. Lineage: Eukaryota; Metazoa; Chordata; Actinopteri; Salmoniformes; Salmonidae. The record is from RefSeq and is a predicted model, not a curated record.
CUGGAGACGCCAUGGCAAUGUAUAACUAUGUUGAACCACAAGAAGAACACAGUAUUAUAACAUGAAAGGAACAUGACUGAGUGACAUUUGACAAUGACCAAAACACUGAUAUUUGAUUUUUGCUGCGCUUCAUAGAAGAUCUUGCUAGUGUCAGCGACUAGGUUAUUCCUAACCGAUUCAGCGCCUAUUGACGGCAGUACCUUCUGGCUGGGGGUGUUCUGUCAAGAGCCCCGACACUCGUUCUGAACGUUUAAAUGCACCGCUUACGAGUCCGAUCCCAUCAACAUCUGCAGCGGCAUCAACAUCAAGCUCAGUACCAGGAACUAAUCUUCUCUCUAAGCCAAAGUUCUGUUCUGCGGAGAAGACUAAGACUAUUGGCAGCACCUACAUGGCAGCUGCUGGUCUGACCAAUCCUGCUAUAGGGGACGAGCGAAAGGACUGUGAUGUGUCCUACAGCCAUGUACGCAGCAUGGUAGAGUUUGCCAUCGCUCUGAAGAACAACCUGGAGUCCAUCAACCAACACUCCUUCAACAGCUUUAAGCUACGCAUCGGUGAGUCUGUCUGUAUGGCCAGAGGGACAAAGAUAUGGACUCCAUUAAUCUUUCCUCGAUUACGUGCAUCCUCUCUCCUUGCCUGCUUCUCAAAAUGUAUUGGAGAAGAAGGUCAGACAGGAGGGACCUUGGACUUUCUCCUUCAACACUGUUGAGAAAGGAUGCACGGAAUCAACGGACGACAAACAGAGAUUGAGACUUUUACAACUAAACUCCCUUGAUUUGAUAACCAUUUUAUUUUUGGAAGUGAAACGAGGCUACUCAGGAGAGAGAAAAACAUCACCCAAAUGUAUAGCCCCGUCGGAAAAUAUAAAUGUACUGUUUGAAAAUGUGAAGAAAAAAAAAAGAAAAAAUGGUUUGGUGUACUGCAUUGCACGUUUGGGAAUACCUGCUGUGGACCCAUUGGAUGAAAGCUUUCAGCUGGGAACAAGCUCAAGCUCAAUAUCAUCUGACUCAGAAGAGGAAAAGACUGCAUAGGGCUGGCAAAGCCAAAGUGUAUAGUCUAUGUCCAAGAUCAUGACCAGCUGCCGUUGCCCAACACAAGAUGACGUUCACCAGCUGAAGAACACUCAGGAGCCCGACUGAAAGAUUAGUGGAAUCUGUGUGGGUAGCUGGACAGGUAGGAUGACUGACAGUGAGGGUGAACAGGUGGUCACGGGUCAGGUGACAGAGGAAUGGAUGAGACUGAGGCAGGAAUUCCUUUAACCAUAAAGUGGUAUAUUUACUGAGUAGUCUGUGCUGCAUAACAAAGGAAACAGAAUAACGUGUAUCCAAUCAAAUCCAUCAUCACAAAGAUCUAAUCAUAACAAUCAUUCAUUGUUAACAUCAUUUAGGGAAUUCAACAAUCCAGUUAAUUAAUAAGUCAAUAGGAAUCGUCGGUGAGUAAUUUAGGCUCGUAACUAUUUAUCAUAAAUCAUGAAAGAAUAAUACAAACAGUGAUCGGUUAUUCAAUCUAUAAAUCGCCAUUAGUUGGAUAUCAGAGCCGAUCAGUUCAACAAACAAUUACUUUCUUAUUUCACCCUUUGAAGUGUCUUCAUGUGUACACGGAAUUUCAUUACAUAUUAACUAUACCAAUUGCAUAAUUGUCCUAUUAUGAUCCGUAGGGCCGGAAUCAUUGACCAUUCACAUUAGACAAAAUGUUUGAAGCGUGCGCUCCAAGCCACGCGAUAAUAACUUCAAAUAACAACUGAUGGCCCACUCUCCCGAUCGCAACAGAUAGUUCAGGUGAAAGGUAACAGAGUCGGUGGACUUACAUGGACGCACAGAACUUCUGGAUUUGACAGAGUGAAGGAAGAGAAAGCAGCGUGAUCAGGCGAUGGUGAUUUCCUCCUUUUAUGGAGUGGAGAUCUGUCAGACAUUUCCCCCUGACCUAAUUAAAGCGCCCCUGGCCCAGCUGAGUAAGUGGCAAUGAAUUAAAGGAUUAUUCCACCAACUCCAUGGGCUUUUUCUACACCGACCUUUAACAUUCAGCCAACACAACAUCUAUAUUCACUUAGACUGAUGUGUAGCAUAAUAUAGAAUGCCUAGUAUGCUCACAACUGCAUUGUGCGGAAGACACAUUUCAGUUGGACAACUGACUAGGUAUCCCCCUUUCGUAUAGAUAUUGCUAGCUCUUGUACAUAAAAUAAAUUAUGCAGGGAGAAGGUGUAUCAUUUCAACUUUAAUUUGUUGGCAAGCAAACAUGCUUCAAUAUAACAGUAGAUUAGUCUGUCAUUGUAGCAAAUAAGUAGACAUGGCUUGUAUUCAAGACUAAGUUUUUAUUUGCUCUGGAGACCGAGGUGAGUUUACACAGCAGUAUGCAGGAACAGUUCUGGCAAUGUACAGCAUAUACAGUGAAUUCGGAAAGUAUUCAGACACCUUGACUUUUUCCACAAUUUGUUACAUUACAGCAUAUUCUAAAAAGGA